GAUGAACGCUGGCGGCGUGCCUAAUACAUGCAAGUCGAGCGAACAGACGAGGAGCUUGCUCCUCUGACGUUAGCGGCGGACGGGUGAGUAACACGUGGAUAACCUACCUAUAAGACUGGGAUAACUUCGGGAAACCGGAGCUAAUACCGGAUAAUAUAUUGAACCGCAUGGUUCAAUAGUGAAAGACGGUUUUGCUGUCACUUAUAGAUGGAUCCGCGCCGCAUUAGCUAGUUGGUAAGGUAACGGCUUACCAAGGCAACGAUGCGUAGCCGACCUGAGAGAGUGAUCGGCCACACUGGAACUGAGACACGGUCCAGACUCCUACGGGAGGCAGCAGUAGGGAAUCUUCCGCAAUGGGCGAAAGCCUGACGGAGCAACGCCGCGUGAGUGAUGAAGGUCUUCGGAUCGUAAAACUCUGUUAUUAGGGAAGAACAAAUGUGUAAGUAACUAUGCACGUCUUGACGGUACCUAACCAGAAAGCCACGGCUAACUACGUG
Molecule: ribosomal RNA, 497 nt
Filed under: uncultured bacterium
Lineage: Bacteria
Description: partial 16S ribosomal RNA
Rfam family: Bacterial small subunit ribosomal RNA
Source: RNAcentral